This 29-nucleotide small RNA is filed under the name Bombyx mori (domestic silkworm). RNAcentral describes it as "ovarian small RNA-21241". The record is from RNAcentral. Lineage: Eukaryota; Metazoa; Arthropoda; Insecta; Lepidoptera; Bombycidae.
UACUAAUCGCAUGGAUGAGUAUUCCCGAC